CUACGGGCCGCAGCAGUGAGGAAUAUUGGUCAAUGGCCGGAAGGCUGAACCAGCCAUCCCGCGUGCAGGAUGACGGCCCUAUGGGUUGUAAACUGCUUUUCUACGCAAAGAAAAGUUCCUACGAGUAGGGAUUUGCCGGUAGUGUAGGAAUAAGCAUCGGCUAACUCCGUGCCAGCAGCCGCGGUAAUACGGAGGAUGCAAGCGUUAUCCGGAUUUAUUGGGUGUUAAAGGGUGCGCAGGCGGGGAAAUAAGUCAGUGGUGAAAUGCUGCCGCUUAACGGUAGAAUUGCCAUUGAUACUGUUUUUCUUGAGUGUGGUUGAGGUAGGUGGAAUGUGCAGUGUAGCGGUGAAAUGCAUAGAUAUUGCACAGAACUCCGAUUGCGAAGGCAGCUUACUAAGCCAUUACUGACGCUGAGGCACGAAAGCGUGGGUAGCGAACAGGAUUAGAUACCCGGGUAGUC
This 460-nucleotide ribosomal RNA is filed under the name uncultured bacterium. RNAcentral's name for it is "partial 16S ribosomal RNA". It matches the Rfam family "Bacterial small subunit ribosomal RNA", at positions 339 to 795 of the family's 1533-position model. The record is from RNAcentral.